CUCGUAGGUGGCCAACUAAGUCAGACGUGAAAUCCCUCGGCUUAACCGGGGAGCUGCGUCUGAUACUGGAUGGCUUGAGUUCGGGAGAGGGAUGCGGAAUUCCAGGUGUAGCGGUGAAAUGCGUAGAUAUCUGGAGGAACACCGGUGGCGAAGGCGGCAUCCUGGACCGACACUGACGCUGAGGAGCGAAAGCCAGGGAGCAAACG
This 206-nucleotide ribosomal RNA is filed under the name uncultured bacterium. Its description in RNAcentral is "partial 16S ribosomal RNA". It matches the Rfam family "Bacterial small subunit ribosomal RNA", at positions 568 to 774 of the family's 1533-position model. The record is from RNAcentral.